GAUGAACGCUAGCUACAGGCUUAACACAUGCAAGUCGAGGGGCAGCAUGACGAUAGCUUGCUAUUGUUGAUGGCGACCGGCGCACGGGUGAGUAACGCGUAUCCAACCUUCCCUAUAGUAGAGGAUAGCCCGGCGAAAGUCGGAUUAAUACUCUAUGUUUUCCAAUGCAGACAUCUAAGUUGGAACAAAGGUUCACCGCUAUAGGAUGGGGAUGCGUCUGAUUAGGUUGUUGGCGGGGUAACGGCCCACCAAGCCUACGAUCAGUAGGGGUUCUGAGAGGAAGGUCCCCCACAUUGGAACUGAGACACGGUCCAAACUCC
Molecule: ribosomal RNA, 320 nt
Filed under: uncultured Prevotella sp.
Lineage: Bacteria; Pseudomonadati; Bacteroidota; Bacteroidia; Bacteroidales; Prevotellaceae
Description: bacterial SSU rRNA
Rfam family: Bacterial small subunit ribosomal RNA
Source: RNAcentral